Molecule: non-coding RNA, 437 nt
Organism: Labrus bergylta (ballan wrasse)
Lineage: Eukaryota; Metazoa; Chordata; Actinopteri; Labriformes; Labridae
Source: RefSeq, a predicted model, not a curated record
GAACACCUGGUUCCUGAACACCUGGAUCCUGAACACCUGGAUCCUGAACACCUGGGCUGUGUCUGAAAUCACUCCCUAUCCACUAUGUAGUGGACACGCCAUUUUGUAGUGCUGUCCGAAUUCUGAGGACUGAUGACGAUGUAGCCCAGCUGAUCCGGCUGAGGAGGGAGAAGGACCACCCCUUCAGCGGGAGGCGGUUUGCUGCUGCUGCAGGAUGGGAAACUUUGCUGAAAGACAUGCUGCUGUCUGAUCGAGUCAGUCCUGCUCGGGCGGAUAAAAAGUGGGAGAACUUGAAGAAAACGUACAAGGUUUGUAUUUGUUGUAUUUAACUGUAGCCCUGGAUAAUUAAAGUUUAGAUUAAAAAUGGCACUUCAUGUUCUCCUUUAGUAUCUUCCUAUGUUGUAUUCGGAAUCUGAAAUUGACUUUAACAUGUAUAA